This 230-nucleotide ribosomal RNA is filed under the name uncultured bacterium. Its description in RNAcentral is "partial 16S ribosomal RNA". It matches the Rfam family "Bacterial small subunit ribosomal RNA", at positions 562 to 791 of the family's 1533-position model. The record is from RNAcentral.
AAAGCGUGCGCAGGCGGUUUUGUAAGUCUGUCGUGAAAUCCCCGGGCUCAACCUGGGAAUGGCGAUGGAGACUGCAAGGCUAGAGUUUGGCAGAGGGGGGUAGAAUUCCACGUGUAGCAGUGAAAUGCGUAGAGAUGUGGAGGAACACCGAUGGCGAAGGCAGCCCCCUGGGUCAAAACUGACGCUCAUGCACGAAAGCGUGGGGAGCAAACAGGAUUAGAUACCCUUGU